Molecule: ribosomal RNA, 778 nt
Filed under: Tubakia californica
Lineage: Eukaryota; Fungi; Ascomycota; Sordariomycetes; Diaporthales; Tubakiaceae
Description: eukaryotic LSU rRNA
Rfam family: Eukaryotic large subunit ribosomal RNA
Source: RNAcentral
GCGAGUGAAGCGGCAACAGCUCAAAUUUGAAAUCUGGCCUCGGCCCGAGUUGUAAUUUGCAGAGGAUGCUUUUGGUGCGGUGCCUUCCGAGUUCCCUGGAACGGGACGCCACAGAGGGUGAGAGCCCCGUAUGGUCGGACACCAAUCCUGUGUAAAGCUCCUUCGACGAGUCGAGUAGUUUGGGAAUGCUGCUCUAAAUGGGAGGUAAAUCUCUUCUAAAGCUAAAUACCGGCCAGAGACCGAUAGCGCACAAGUAGAGUGAUCGAAAGAUGAAAAGCACCUUGAAAAGGGGGUUAAACAGUACGUGAAAUUGUUGAAAGGGAAGCACUUGUGACCAGACUUGGGCCGGGCGGCUCAUCAGGGGUUCUCCCCUGUGCAUUCCGCCCGGUACAGGCCAGCAUCGGUUCUUACCGGGGGAUAAGAACGGCAGGAACGUGGCUCCCUCUCGGGGGAGUGUUAUAGCCUGCCGUACGAUACCCUGGCGGGGACCGAGGUUCGCGCUUCCGCAAGGAUGCUGGCGUAAUGGUUACUAGUGACCCGUCUUGAAACACGGACCAAGGAGUCGUCCAUUAGAGCGAGCGUUUGGGUGUAAAACCCGCACGCGUAAUGAAAGUGAAAUUAGGUGAGAGCUUCGGCGCAUCAUCGACCGAUCCUGAUGUUCUCGGAUGGAUUUGAGUAAGAGUUUUAACGGACGGACCCGAAAGACAGUGAACUAUGCUUGUAUAGGGUGAAGCCAGAGGAAACUCUGGUGGAGGCUCGCAGCGGUUCUGACGUGCAA